This 468-nucleotide ribosomal RNA is filed under the name uncultured bacterium. RNAcentral's name for it is "partial 16S ribosomal RNA". It matches the Rfam family "Bacterial small subunit ribosomal RNA", at positions 28 to 507 of the family's 1533-position model. The record is from RNAcentral.
GACGAACGCUGGCGGCGUGCUUAACACAUGCAAGUCGAACGGAAAGGCCCUGCUUUUGUGGGGUGCUCGAGUGGCGAACGGGUGAGUAACACGUGAGUAACCUGCCCUUGACUUUGGGAUAACUUCAGGAAACUGGGGCUAAUACCGGAUAGGAGCUCCUGCUGCAUGGUGGGGGUUGGAAAGUUUCGGCGGUUGGGGAUGGACUCGCGGCUUAUCAGCUUGUUGGUGGGGUAGUGGCUUACCAAGGCUUUGACGGGUAGCCGGCCUGAGAGGGUGACCGGCCACAGUGGGACUGAGAGACGGACCAGACUCCUACGGGAGGCAGCAGUGGGGAAUAUGGCCAAAUGGGCGGAAGCCUGAUGCAGCAACGCCGCGUGCGGGAUGACGGCCUUCGGGUUGUAGACCGAGUUCGCCUGUGACGAAGCGUGAGUGAAGGUAAUGGGUAAAGAAGCACCGGCUAACUACGUG